UCCCCGUUAUCCUGGGCAGUCCUUUCAGAGUGCUCGGCAUUACCCGCUGGCAACUAAAGGCAGGGGUUGCGCUCGUUGCGGCACUUAAGCCAACACCUCACGGCACGAGCUGACGACAGCCAUGCAGCACCUGUGCUAGCCCCUUACGGACACGGGCUUUCACCCGCUUUAACUAGCAUGUCAAGCCUAGGUAAGGUUCUUCGCGUUGCAUCGAAUUAAGCCACAUGCUCCGCCGCUUGUGCGGGCCCCCGUCAAUUCCUUUGAGUUUCAGUCUUGCGACCGUACUCCCCAGGCGGAGUGCUUAAUGUGUUGACUUCGGCACAGCAGGGGUCGAUACCCGCGACACCGAGCACCCAUCGUUUACAGCGUGGACUAC
This 376-nucleotide unclassified non-coding RNA is filed under the name uncultured Actinomycetes bacterium. Its description in RNAcentral is "uncultured actinobacterium contains 16S-23S intergenic spacer region". The record is from RNAcentral. Lineage: Bacteria; Bacillati; Actinomycetota; Actinomycetes.